CACACUCAAAGCACAGGGAGAGACGUGAGCUGGUUACUCCUGCCCACCCUUUUGCAUUUCUGAGGGCAGAGAACCUGUUGAAUACAGCAUACUCUGAAUUGUUCUCUUCCUCCCUCCUACAGCAAAACUGCCAGGGCUGUGCUGACUUGGUAAACUCCUGGAGAAGACAUUUAUGAGGUCUAAAAUGUUUGACUGGGUUUUCUCAUCUUCUGCUUUGGAGCUGGCCAUGAACCUCAUGAGACAACUUGCUCCUGUGCAUUCCAGUGGUUUAAGUGUGCUUGGAAUAACAGUGCUAUGUAAGAUCCCUGUCAGCCUGACCCUGAGGGAACCUUACGUGAGCUGGGAAAGUCAAGUUCUCUCAGGCUGGUGGAAGCAUUCAUUGAGCAGUGACUGGGUGAGAAGCACCAAAGCUACUAAAGAAUUGGAUGCUUUUCCUGUGUAGUUUUGUGGAGGACCGUGUAGCCUAGUUUGACUUUUGUUUUGUUUUGUUUUUAAAGGAUAGUGUUUAUUUGGGCAUUCCAUACCUUUGGCCUUCCAAGGACAAACAGAUCAUUGGAGUCAUGAAUGGUCUGUGUGCUCAUGGCCUUUUCUAACGGAACUGUGGUGGGGUGAUCUGGCAGUUUUGCCACUUUUGGGGUUCUUUGCUGUCUAGGUCACUGGCACAAAGAGUAUUUCUGAUGUCAACAGAACAAAGUUCCCUGUGAUCAGCUGCUUGUUUACUGCAAAUUCACCUCUGGCUUAAGCCUGC
Molecule: long non-coding RNA, 748 nt
Filed under: Calidris pygmaea (Spoon-billed sandpiper)
Lineage: Eukaryota; Metazoa; Chordata; Aves; Charadriiformes; Scolopacidae
Description: lncRNA (ENSCPGG00000005188.1)
Source: RNAcentral